CUGCUAUCGGAUUGAUACUAAGCCAUGCGAGUCUUUGUAGUAAUACAAGGCAUACGGCUCAGUAACACGUAGUCAACCUACCCUAUGGACAAGAAUAAUCUCGGGAAACUGGGCAUAAUUCUUGAUAGAUCAUAAUGCCUGAAUGGUUUAUGGUUAAAAUGAUUCGUCGCCAUAGGAUGGGACUGCGGCCUAUCAGCUUGUUGGUGAGGUAAUGGCCCACCAAGGCGAUUACAGGUACGGGCUCUGAGAGGAGAAGCCCGGAGAUGGGUACUGAGACACGGACCCAGGCCCUAUGGGGCGCAGCAGGCGAGAAAACUUUGCAAUGUGCGAAAGCACGACAAGGUUAAUCCGAGUGAUUUCUGCUAAAGAAAUCUUUUGCCAGUCAUAAAACCACUGGUGAAUAAGGGGUGGGCAAGUUCUGGUGUCAGCCGCCGCGGUAAAACCAGCACCUCAAGUGGUCAGGAUGAUUAUUGGGCCUAAAGCAUCCGUAGCCGGCUUUGUUAGUUUUCGGUUAAAUCUAUGUGCUCAACGCAUGGGCUGCCGAAAAUACUGCAUGGCUAGGGAGUGGGAGAGGUAGACGGUACUCAGUAGGAAGGGGUAAAAUCCUUUGAUCUAUUGAUGACCACCUGUGGCGAAGGCGGUCUACCAGAACACGUUCGACGGUGAGGGAUGAAAGCUGGGGGAGCAAACCGGAUUAGAUACCCGGGUAGUCCCAGCUGUAAACGAUGCAGACUCGAUGAUGCAUUGGCAUAAUAGCCAGUGCAGUGUCGCAGGGAAGCCGUUAAGUCUGCCGCCUGGGAAGUACGUACGCAAGUAUGAAACUUAAAGGAAUUGGCGGGGGAGCACCACAAGGGGUGAAGCCUGCGGU
RNAcentral lists this ribosomal RNA (868 nucleotides) under uncultured marine group I thaumarchaeote. RNAcentral describes it as "SSU rRNA". It matches the Rfam family "Archaeal small subunit ribosomal RNA", at positions 27 to 901 of the family's 1478-position model. Lineage: Archaea; Thermoproteati; Nitrososphaerota. The record is from RNAcentral.